GAAAUGUGAUAAGUAAUGUGAAUUGCAGAAUUCAGUGAAUCAUCGAAUCUUUGAACGCACCUUGCACUCUUUGGUAUUCCGAAGAGUAUGUCUGUUUGAGUGUUAUGAAACCUUCAACCCAACUUUUUGUGUUCAACAUAAGCUGUUGGUGUUUGGAUCAUGGGCGCUUUUGUCGGUUUGGUUAUCAGAUCGGCUCGCCUGGAAUGCAUGAGCAGUGUUGUCUUUCGACAUCUGGCUUGACUUGGCGUGAUAGGUUAUUUCGCUGAGGACAAUGUCUUGUGCAUUGGCCGAUUCGUUAGAUGAGGGCUUCUAAUGGUUAUGGGCUCGACCCUUAUAACUUCAUACCUUUGACCUCAAAUCAGAUAGGACUACCCGCUGAACUUAA
Molecule: unclassified non-coding RNA, 385 nt
Filed under: uncultured Basidiomycota
Lineage: Eukaryota; Fungi; Basidiomycota
Description: sequence contains ITS1
Rfam family: 5.8S ribosomal RNA (bases 1-105)
Source: RNAcentral